UGACCCCUGAGCAAGGCCAAGAGGGGGAUCUUGUCGCCUGGGCAGCCCAGGGCCUCCAUAUAGGGAAAGUCAGUUUGGUGCUGCUAACAUAGCAGUUUGACUUCACACUCCAUUUUCUCUUGAGAAAGAUGGAUGCCAACAACCUAUCUUUUAUUGUUGGUUAUGUAUUUUACCAGCAAUUAUAACUCACUCUGGGAUCAUCUUGCAAGACAAAGAGCAGGACAGAAAUAUCGUAAGUAAAUAAAUAAUAGGCAAUAGCUUCCUUGUGCAAGUAGGCCUGGUUUCUUAUCUACUAUGCAUAUUCAGAUAAACCCAUCCCUCAAGAGACCACGAGUUUAAGAAGGUGAAAUGCGGGACUGGAAGAAUAGGGUCUAGAGUGGGGAAAUCAGUAGGAGUCUACUAAAAAAUGACUACAAGGUGAUUGCCUCAAACACAUGAUCAAGUAGUCUCAUUGGCUUCUGUCCAGGAAAAGUACUUAAGUAUCCAAGGAUGGAAGUAAUCCUAUCUGAAGUCAUCAAAGUAUUAGGAGCACCUGCUUAAGUCCCACUGGUCUCUGUGACAUUUAAUCACUUGAUCAAAGUUAAAGCACGUGAUUAAGAGGGCUUUGUUGAAAAGGGGUUGAAUUUAAGCAGGUGCUUAAAUUCAACACCCAUGUUGAAGAACUCUGAUGGAGUAUAAUUAGGUGGGAGGAGGGAGUGGAGGUGGGGUGGGGGGAGAAGGAGAUGAUGGUAGCAGCCACUUCCUGGCAAAUGACUUUAAAGCACUUGACAUCCCUCCCAGCAGACUUAUCUUAUGCUUCAAAAUAUAUAAUGGAAAGGCAAGGAAAAGAAUACUGUCUAUGGCAGGAAGAAUGUAGAAGCCAUGCAACAGAUAUUGGGCUCAUCUCCUCUGCCCCUCUCCCUUUCUACAAUGG
This is a non-coding RNA of Podarcis lilfordi (Lilford's wall lizard), 913 nucleotides long. NCBI's taxonomy places the organism in Eukaryota, Metazoa, Chordata, Lepidosauria, Squamata, Lacertidae. The record is from the annotation of a GenBank genome assembly.